UACGUAGGUGGCAAGCGUUGUCCGGAUUUACUGGGCGUAAAGAGCGCGCAGGCGGUCGUUCAAGUCGCGUGUGAAAGCCCCCGGCUCAACUGGGGAGGGUCACGCGAUACUGAUCGACUGGAAGGCAGGAGAGGGUAGUGGAAUUCCCGGUGUAGUGGUGAAAUGCGUAGAUAUCAAGUGGAACACCAGUGGCGAAGGCGAAUCCCUGGAAAAUACCUGACACUGAGGCACGAAAGCUAGGGGAGCAAACAGG
RNAcentral lists this ribosomal RNA (253 nucleotides) under uncultured bacterium. RNAcentral's name for it is "partial 16S ribosomal RNA". It matches the Rfam family "Bacterial small subunit ribosomal RNA", at positions 524 to 776 of the family's 1533-position model. The record is from RNAcentral.